UAAGGAAUAUUGGACAAUGGAGGCAACUCUGAUCCAGCCAUGCCGCGUGAAGGAAUAGGGCCCUAUGGGUUGUAAACUUCUUUUAGACGGGACAAAACCCCUUUACGUGUAAAGGGUUGAUGGUACUGUCAGAAUAAGCAUCGGCUAACUUCGUGCCAGCAGCCGCGGUAAUACGAAGGAUGCAAGCGUUAUCCGGAAUUAUUGGGUUUAAAGGGUGCGUAGGCGGACUAAUAAGUCAGUGGUGAAAGCCUGCAGCUUAACUGCAGAAUUGCCAUUGAUACUGUUAGUCUUGAGUACAGUUGAGGUAGGCGGAAUGUGUCAUGUAGCGGUGAAAUGCUUAGAUAUGACACAGAACACCGAUUGCGAAGGCAGCUUGCUAAGCUGUAACUGACGCUGAGGCACGAAAGCGUGGGGAGCAAACA
Molecule: ribosomal RNA, 422 nt
Filed under: uncultured bacterium
Lineage: Bacteria
Description: bacterial SSU rRNA
Rfam family: Bacterial small subunit ribosomal RNA
Source: RNAcentral